CCUACGGGCGGCAGCAGUGAGGAAUAUUGGUCAAUGGGCGGAAGCCUGAACCAGCCAAGUAGCGUGCGGGAUGAAGGCCCUACGGGUCGUAAACCGCUUUUGCACGGGGAUAACACCCUCCACUUGUGGAGGUCUGCAGGUACCGUGCGAAUAAGGGCCGGCUAAUUCCGUGCCAGCAGCCGCGGUAAUACGGAAGGCCCGAGCGUUAUCCGGAUUCAUUGGGCUUAAAGGGAGCGUAGGCGGGCUUUCAAGUCAGCUGUAAAAUCGCGCGGCUCAACCGCGCCCCGCAGUUGAAACUGGACGCCUUGAGUUCACAACAGGCAGGCGGAAUUCGGGGUGUAGCGGUGAAAUGCUUAGAUAUUACUCAGAACACCGAUUGCGCAGGCAGCUUGCUAAGCCGCAUCUGACGCUGAUGCACGAAAGCGUGGGUAGCGAACAGGAUUAGAUACCCCUGUAGUC
Molecule: ribosomal RNA, 459 nt
Filed under: uncultured bacterium
Lineage: Bacteria
Description: partial 16S ribosomal RNA
Rfam family: Bacterial small subunit ribosomal RNA
Source: RNAcentral